GAUGAACGCUCGCGGCGUGCCACAUACACGCCACUCGAGCGAACGGACGAGAAGCUCGCUUCUCUGAUGUUAGCGGUGGACGGGUGAGCAAAAAGUGGAUAACCCACCUAUAAGACUGGCAUAACUUAGGGAAACCGGAGCUAAUACCGGUUAAUCUUUUGAAACCGUUGGUCCUAAAGAGACAGAAGGUCUUGCGGUUACUUACCGAUGGGUCCUCGCUGCUUAUGCUAGUUGGUAAGGUUACGGCUGACCAAGGCAACGAUGCAUUGCCGGCCUGAGGGGGUGAUCGGCCACACUGGAACUGAGACACGGUGCAGACUCCUACGGGAGGCAGCAGGAGGGAAUCUUCCGAAAGGGGCGGAAGCCUGACGGAGCAACUCCGCGUGAGUGAUGAAGGUCUUCGGAUCGUAAAACUCUGUUAGUAGGGAAGGACGUAUGUGUAAGGAACUGUGCGCAUCUUGACGGUGCCUAAUCAGAAGGCCGCGGCUAACUACGUG
This 497-nucleotide ribosomal RNA is filed under the name uncultured bacterium. Its description in RNAcentral is "partial 16S ribosomal RNA". It matches the Rfam family "Bacterial small subunit ribosomal RNA", at positions 28 to 507 of the family's 1533-position model. The record is from RNAcentral.